This 73-nucleotide transfer RNA is filed under the name Felis catus (domestic cat). It matches the Rfam family "tRNA". From Rfam's summary of the family: Transfer RNA (tRNA) molecules are approximately 80 nucleotides in length. Their secondary structure includes four short double-helical elements and three loops (D, anti-codon, and T loops). Lineage: Eukaryota; Metazoa; Chordata; Mammalia; Carnivora; Felidae. The record is from Rfam by way of RNAcentral.
ACCCGGCUGGCUCAGUCGGUAGAGCAUGUAACUCUUGAUCUCAGGGUCAUGAGUUCAAGCCCCAUGUUGGGCG